UAGGGAAUCUUCCGCAAUGGGCGAAAGCCUGACGGAGCAACGCCGCGUGAGUGAUGAAGGUCUUCGGAUCGUAAAACUCUGUUAUUAGGGAAGAACAUAUGUGUAAGUAACUGUGCACAUCUUGACGGUACCUAAUCAGAAAGCCACGGCUAACUACGUGCCAGCAGCCGCGGUAAUACGUAGGUGGCAAGCGUUAUCCGGAAUUAUUGGGCGUAAAGCGCGCGUAGGCGGUUUUUUAAGUCUGAUGUGAAAGCCCACGGCUCAACCGUGGAGGGUCAUUGGAAACUGGAAAACUUGAGUGCAGAAAGAGGAAAGUGGAAUUCCAUGUGUAGCGGUGAAAUGCGCAGAGAUAUGGAGGANCACCAGUGGCGAAGGCGACUUUCUGGUCCGGUAACUGACGCUGAUGUGCGAAAGCGUGGGGAUCAAACAGGAUUAGAUACCCUGGNAGUCNACGCNGUAAACGAUGAGUGCUAAGNUGUUAGGGGGUUUCCGCCCCUUAGNGCUGCAGCUAACGCAUUAAGNACUCCNGCCUGGGGAGUACGACCGCNGGUUGG
This 554-nucleotide ribosomal RNA is filed under the name uncultured bacterium. RNAcentral describes it as "bacterial SSU rRNA". It matches the Rfam family "Bacterial small subunit ribosomal RNA", at positions 355 to 897 of the family's 1533-position model. The record is from RNAcentral.